RNAcentral lists this ribosomal RNA (427 nucleotides) under uncultured bacterium. Its description in RNAcentral is "bacterial SSU rRNA". It matches the Rfam family "Bacterial small subunit ribosomal RNA", at positions 355 to 774 of the family's 1533-position model. The record is from RNAcentral.
UCGAGAAUUUUUCUCAAUGGGCGAAAGCCUGAAGGAGCGACGCCGCGUGGAGGAUGAAGGUUUUCGGAUUGUAAACUCCUGUCAUUGGGGAACAAUUGCAAGGGGAGUAACUGCCCUUUGCUUGAUAGUACCCGAAGAGGAAGAGACGGCUAACUCUGUGCCAGCAGCCGCGGUAAUACAGAGGUCUCAAGCGUUGUUCGGAUUCAUUGGGCGUAAAGGGUGCGUAGGCGGUGAGGUAAGUUGGAUGUGAAAUCCCGGGGCUUAACCCCGGAACUGCAUUCAAUACUGCCUUGCUAGAGUACUGGAGAGGAGAUUGGAAUUCACGGUGUAGCAGUGAAAUGCGUAGAUAUCGUGAGGAAGACCAGUGGCGAAGGCGAAUCUCUGGACAGUAACUGACGCUGAGGCACGAAGGCCAGGGGAGCAAACG